GAUGAACGCUGGCGGCGUGCCUAACACAUGCAAGUCGAACGAAGCACUUUUUUACGAUCCCUUCGGGGUGACGAAUUUGUGACUGAGUGGCGGACGGGUGAGUAACGCGUGGGAAACCUGCCUUGUACCGGGGGAUAGCAGUUGGAAACGACUGAUAAUACCGCAUAAGCGCACAGUAUCACAUGAUACAGUGUGAAAAACUCCGGUGGUACAAGAUGGUCCCGCGUCUGAUUAGCUUGUUGGCGGGGUAAUGGCCCACCAAGGCGACGAUCAGUAGCCGACCUGAGAGGGUGACCGGCCACAUUGGGACUGAGACACGGCCCAAACUCCUACGGGAGGCAGCAGUGGGGAAUAUUGCACAAUGGAGGAAACUCUGAUGCAGCGACGCCGCGUGAGCGAUGAAGUAUUCGGUAUGUAAAGCUCUAUCAGCAGGGAAGAUAAUGACGGUACCUGAGUAAGAAGCUCCGGCUAAAUACGUGCCAGCAGCCG
RNAcentral lists this ribosomal RNA (489 nucleotides) under uncultured bacterium. Its description in RNAcentral is "bacterial SSU rRNA". It matches the Rfam family "Bacterial small subunit ribosomal RNA", at positions 28 to 517 of the family's 1533-position model. The record is from RNAcentral.